AUUGAACGCUGGCGGCAGGCCUAACACAUGCAAGUCGAGCGGAUGAAGGGAGCUUGCUCCUGGAUUCAGCGGCGGACGGGUGAGUAAUGCCUAGGAAUCUGCCUGGUAGUGGGGGAUAACGUCCGGAAACGGGCGCUAAUACCGCAUACGUCCUGAGGGAGAAAGUGGGGGAUCUUCGGACCUCACGCUAUCAGAUGAGCCUAGGUCGGAUUAGCUAGUUGGUGGGGUAAAGGCCUACCAAGGCUACGAUCCGUAACUGGUCUGAGAGGAUGAUCAGUCACACUGGAACUGAGACACGGUCCAGACUCCUACGGGAGGCAGCAGUGGGGAAUAUUGGACAAUGGGCGAAAGCCUGAUCCAGCCAUGCCGCGUGUGUGAAGAAGGUCUUCGGAUUGUAAAGCACUUUAAGUUGGGAGGAAGGGCAGUAAGUUAAUACCUUGCUGUUUUGACGUUACCAACAGAAUAAGCACCGGCUAACUUCGUG
Molecule: ribosomal RNA, 484 nt
Filed under: uncultured bacterium
Lineage: Bacteria
Description: partial 16S ribosomal RNA
Rfam family: Bacterial small subunit ribosomal RNA
Source: RNAcentral